CCUACGGGAGGCAGCAGUGAGGAAUAUUGGUCAAUGGUCGGGAGACUGAACCAGCCAAGUCGCGUGAGGGAGGAAGGUACUGCGUAUCGUAAACCUCUUUUGCCAGGGAACAAAGACUUGCACGUGUCCCCGGCUGCAGGUACCUGGCGAAAAAGCACCGGCUAACUCCGUGCCAGCAGCCGCGGUAAUACGGAGGGUGCGAGCGUUAUCCGGAUUUAUUGGGUUUAAAGGGGGCGUAGGCGGGCUGUCAAGUCAGCGGUAAAAGCCCGGGGCUCAACCCCGGCCCGACGUUGAAACUGGCAGUCUUGAGUUGGAGAGAAGUAUGCGGAAUGCGCGGUGUAGCGGUGAAAUGCAUAGAUAUCGCGAAGAACUCCGAUUGCGAAGGCAGCAUGCCGGCUCCACACUGACGCUGAGGCACGAAAGCGUGGGUAUCGAACAGGAUUAGAUACCCGAGUAGUC
Molecule: ribosomal RNA, 459 nt
Filed under: uncultured bacterium
Lineage: Bacteria
Description: partial 16S ribosomal RNA
Rfam family: Bacterial small subunit ribosomal RNA
Source: RNAcentral